GGGAGUGUAUGUGAAUGAAUGCAAUAUUAUAUAUAUUUGUUAUAUAAUAAUUAUUUUUUGCCAAGGUUGUAGUUUUUAGGAAACAGGUUGUGAACUAUCAUCUCCAAGUAGGAUUAUUUUUUUAUUUUUUUAUUUUUUGAAUUCUUGUAAGCCGAAAAUGAACAUAAGACAUAAAAUUGAUUUUUCUAAAAAAGAGUCCAUGACGAGGUGAUGAUGAAGCAGUGGCAGUCGAAGACACAAGGAAUGUCUUGUGAUGGAAAACUAUGUAAUUUUU
This 274-nucleotide long non-coding RNA is filed under the name Gossypium raimondii (Peruvian cotton). Its description in RNAcentral is "long non-coding RNA (GRAI_LNC009135)". Lineage: Eukaryota; Viridiplantae; Streptophyta; Magnoliopsida; Malvales; Malvaceae. The record is from RNAcentral.